UACGUAGGAUGCAAGCGUUGUCCGGAAUUAUUGGGCGUAAAGAGCGAGCAGGCGGUUCGACAAGUCAGAUGUAAAAUAUCCCGGCUUAACCGGGAGGGGCCAUUUGAAACUGUCGGACUAGAGGUAGGUAGGGGAGAAUGGAAUUCCCGGUGUAGCGGUGAAAUGCGCAGAUAUCGGGAAGAACACCCGUGGCGAAGGCGGCUCUCUGGAACGCAACUGACGCUGAGACGCGAAAGCGUGGGGAGCAAACAGG
This 253-nucleotide ribosomal RNA is filed under the name uncultured bacterium. RNAcentral's name for it is "partial 16S ribosomal RNA". It matches the Rfam family "Bacterial small subunit ribosomal RNA", at positions 524 to 776 of the family's 1533-position model. The record is from RNAcentral.